GCGAGAGUGGCGGAACUGGUAGACGCACUGGAUUUAGGUUCCAGCGGACGCAAGUUCGUGCGGGUUCGAGUCCCGCCUUUCGCA
Molecule: transfer RNA, 84 nt
Filed under: Pseudoxanthomonas spadix BD-a59
Lineage: Bacteria; Pseudomonadati; Pseudomonadota; Gammaproteobacteria; Lysobacterales; Lysobacteraceae
Rfam family: tRNA
About the family: Transfer RNA (tRNA) molecules are approximately 80 nucleotides in length.
Source: Rfam by way of RNAcentral